RNAcentral lists this ribosomal RNA (116 nucleotides) under uncultured bacterium. RNAcentral's name for it is "partial 16S ribosomal RNA". It matches the Rfam family "Bacterial small subunit ribosomal RNA", at positions 1367 to 1482 of the family's 1533-position model. The record is from RNAcentral.
UACGUUCCCGGGCCUUGUACACACCGCCCGUCAAGUCAUGAAAGUCGGUAACACCCGAAGCCGGUGGCCUAACCGUAGGGAAGGAGCCGUCGAAGGUGGGAUCGGUGAUUAGGACU